AUUCACUCUCCGAUCGCUUAGUAAAUCCUGCAAGACCAUCUGUCUGCCUUAAUGUCGACAUCUUGUCCCUUCUACCAGUCAAGAUUUUGUGAGGAUAAGACUGAUGACCAACAUCCCAGAGAAUCCUAUCUUGCGGUGCAUUGAAGACAUAAUGAAGAGCAACAGUCAGCUCAACAACACCAAGACUUGAGCCAAGGUGACCCCCAGUCUUUGAUACAUUGAAAAUUGUAUCUGACCUUAGUUCAUCUGCUAGUUGUUUAAGUUCCUUCAGAGACAGAUUUUUCAUAUGAAUGGGAUAGUUCACAGUGUCCAAAAUAGGCGUUGGCGGUCUCUGUGUGUAGUAUUCUCCAGAUUCUGAUAAGGAAGCCUGAACCACACGUGACCUUUUCUUGACCUCAUGAGUAAGCUUGUGUUGGAACAAAAACUGCAGAUCUGUUCCAUGAAUCCAUCCAGAGAACAAAGGGGUUGCCUUAGAAGAAUCUGAAACCACACCAGUCCUGUUCAAAAUCCCAGGAAAUGCAUAAGCACACAAAGCCAUGAUUAGUCAAUUCAACUGUUUUUUUUCCUUUGUUUCAAUGAAAACCCACAAAUUUUAUAAGUGGUUUCUUGAUUCUUGAAAAAAGGGGUUUACUUCAAGAAAAUUCUAGUGGGGUGUGUUGGUGCUACUGUCACUAAAAUGUUGUUUAUGAAGAUGUA
This 696-nucleotide unclassified non-coding RNA is filed under the name Hevea brasiliensis (rubber tree). The record is from RNAcentral. Lineage: Eukaryota; Viridiplantae; Streptophyta; Magnoliopsida; Malpighiales; Euphorbiaceae.